CAGUUUGGCUGUAGGAGGCCAGGCAGCAACAUUGCCUGGCUGUAGGGUUGUGGUGAAUGACCUGGAGGGCAGUGUCUCCUGUUGAUGUCACCUGGUCACAGCUGUAGAUGGGCAUGGCUGAUGAACUGCCUGGGCAUCUCUCCCCAGUGUGCUUCAUCGCUUGUUCUGCAUCCUGCAGGCAGAAAAUAAGGCCUGAAGGCACUUAAUGAAAUCAUCUAGUCCAAUCCAGUGUGCAAGCCUCAAGGCAGGAUCAUCCCA
Long non-coding RNA from Alligator sinensis (Chinese alligator), 258 nucleotides. RefSeq lists it as uncharacterized. The record is from RefSeq and is a predicted model, not a curated record. The transcript has 3 exons. NCBI's taxonomy places the organism in Eukaryota, Metazoa, Chordata, Crocodylia, Alligatoridae.